Molecule: unclassified non-coding RNA, 260 nt
Filed under: uncultured fungus
Lineage: Eukaryota; Fungi
Description: partial contains 18S rRNA, ITS1, 5.8S rRNA, ITS2 and 28S rRNA
Rfam family: 5.8S ribosomal RNA (bases 216-260)
Source: RNAcentral
GUAACAAGGUUUCCGUUGGUGAACCAGCGGAGGGAUCAUUACCGAGUUGCAAAACUCCCUAAACCCACUGUUUAUCUAUUCUGAAAAACGUCUGCUUCGGCGGGCGGCCCCAGGGCGGGGCCGCGGCCGUGCCUGUGGCACGGCGCCCGCCGAAGACGACGAAACUCAAACUCUGUUAUUUCAGUACUACUCUGAGCCUAAAGACAAAUAAUCAAAACUUUCAACAACGGAUCUCUUGGUUCUGGCAUCGAUGAAGAACG